This 520-nucleotide ribosomal RNA is filed under the name uncultured fungus. RNAcentral describes it as "SSU rRNA". It matches the Rfam family "Eukaryotic small subunit ribosomal RNA", at positions 32 to 554 of the family's 1831-position model. The record is from RNAcentral. Lineage: Eukaryota; Fungi.
UUGUCUCAAAGAUUAAGCCAUGCAUGUCUAAGUAUAAGCAACUUGUACUGUGAAACUGCGAAUGGCUCAUUAAAUCAGUUAUCGUUUAUUUGAUAGUACCUUACUACAUGGAUACCUGUGGUAAUUCUAGAGCUAAUACAUGCUAAAAACCCCGACUUCAGGAAGGGGUGUAUUUAUUAGAUAAAAAACCAACGCCCUUCGGGGCUCCUUGGUGAAUCAUAAUAACUUAACGAAUCGCAUGGCCUUGCGCCGGCGAUGGUUCAUUCAAAUUUCUGCCCUAUCAACUUUCGAUGGUAGGAUAGUGGCCUACCAUGGUGGCAACGGGUAACGGGGAAUUAGGGUUCGAUUCCGGAGAGGGAGCCUGAGAAACGGCUACCACAUCCAAGGAAGGCAGCAGGCGCGCAAAUUACCCAAUCCCGAUACGGGGAGGUAGUGGCAAUAAAUACUGAUACGGGGCUCUUUUGGGUCUCGUAAUUGGAAUGAGAACAAUUUAAAUCCCUUAACGAGGAACAAUUGGAGG